This 75-nucleotide transfer RNA is filed under the name bacterium. Its description in RNAcentral is "tRNA-Ala". It matches the Rfam family "tRNA". Rfam says of the family: Transfer RNA (tRNA) molecules are approximately 80 nucleotides in length. Their secondary structure includes four short double-helical elements and three loops (D, anti-codon, and T loops). Further hydrogen bonds mediate the characteristic L-shaped molecular structure. tRNAs have two regions of fundamental functional importance: the anti-codon, which is responsible for specific mRNA codon recognition, and the 3' end, to which the tRNAs corresponding amino acid is attached (by aminoacyl-tRNA synthetases). tRNAs cope with the degeneracy of the genetic code in two manners: having more than one tRNA (with a specific anti-codon) for a particular amino acid; and 'wobble' base-pairing, i.e. permitting non-standard base-pairing at the 3rd anti-codon position. The record is from RNAcentral. RNAcentral also lists the same sequence under 1 other name.
GGGCCAUUAGCUUAUUUGGUAGAGCACCGCAUUCGCAUUGCGGAGAGGGCGGUUCGAAACCGCCAUGGUCCACCA